RNAcentral lists this ribosomal RNA (253 nucleotides) under uncultured bacterium. Its description in RNAcentral is "partial 16S ribosomal RNA". It matches the Rfam family "Bacterial small subunit ribosomal RNA", at positions 524 to 776 of the family's 1533-position model. The record is from RNAcentral.
UACAGAGGUCUCAAGCGUUGUUCGGAUUCAUUGGGCGUAAAGGGUGCGUAGGCGGCGCGGUAAGUCGGGUGUGAAAUCUUGGAGCUUAACUCCGAAACUGCAUUCGAUACUGCCGUGCUUGAGGACUGGAGAGGAGACUGGAAUUCCCGGUGUAGCGGUGAAAUGCGCAGAUAUCGGGAAGAACACCCGUGGCGAAGGCGGUUCUCUGGGACGGUACUGACGCUGAGACGCGAAAGCGUGGGGAGCGAACAGG